Molecule: ribosomal RNA, 542 nt
Filed under: Bacillus sp. (in: firmicutes)
Lineage: Bacteria; Bacillati; Bacillota; Bacilli; Caryophanales; Bacillaceae
Description: bacterial SSU rRNA
Rfam family: Bacterial small subunit ribosomal RNA
Source: RNAcentral
AGCGGCGGACGGGUGAGUAACACGUGGGCAACCUGCCUAUGAGACUGGGAUAACUCCGGGAAACCGGGGCUAAUACCGGAUAAUUCUUUUCUACACAUGUAGAAAAGCUGAAAGAUGGUUUCGGCUAUCACUCAUAGAUGGGCCCGCGGCGCAUUAGCUAGUUGGUGAGGUAACGGCUCACCAAGGCGACGAUGCGUAGCCGACCUGAGAGGGUGAUCGGCCACACUGGGACUGAGACACGGCCCAGACUCCUACGGGAGGCAGCAGUAGGGAAUCUUCCGCAAUGGACGAAAGUCUGACGGAGCAACGCCGCGUGAGUGAUGAAGGUUUUCGGAUCGUAAAACUCUGUUGUUAGGGAAGAACAAGUACCGGAGUAACUGCCGGUACCUUGACGGUACCUAACCAGAAAGCCACGGCUAACUACGUGCCAGCAGCCGCGGUAAUACGUAGGUGGCAAGCGUUGUCCGGAAUUAUUGGGCGUAAAGCGCGCGCAGGCGGUCUCUUAAGUCUGAUGUGAAAGCCCCCGGCUCAACCGGGGAGGG